CCUACGGGGGGCUGCGGUGGGGAAUAUUGGACAAUGGGGGGAACCCUGAUCCAGCCAUGCCGCGUGUGUGAAGAAGGCCCUCGGGUUGUAAAGCACUUUCAGUGAGGAAGAACGCCUGGUGGUUAAUACCCAUCAGGAAAGACAUCACUCACAGAAGAAGCACCGGCUAACUCCGUGCCAGCAGCCGCGGUAAUACGGAGGGUGCGAGCGUUAAUCGGAAUUACUGGGCGUAAAGCGCGCGUAGGUGGCUUGAUAAGCCGGUUGUGAAAGCCCCGGGCUCAACCUGGGAACGGCAUCCGGAACUGUCAAGCUAGAGUGCAGGAGAGGAAGGUAGAAUUCCCGGUGUAGCGGUGAAAUGCGUAGAGAUCGGGAGGAAUACCAGUGGCGAAGGCGGCCUUCUGGACUGACACUGACACUGAGGUGCGAAAGCGUGGGUAGCAAACAGGAUUAGAUACCCUAGUAGUC
Molecule: ribosomal RNA, 465 nt
Filed under: Vreelandella stevensii
Lineage: Bacteria; Pseudomonadati; Pseudomonadota; Gammaproteobacteria; Oceanospirillales; Halomonadaceae
Description: partial 16S ribosomal RNA
Rfam family: Bacterial small subunit ribosomal RNA
Source: RNAcentral